CUGGCUACUCACCCACACCGCUUCUCUGGCAGGUUCUGGCGGCUCCUGCAGCAGAAGACAAGGGAGACCGCUAGGGGCUCCCCGCCCAGACUGUUUAUGUAGGGUUAAUACCCGAACCCCGCGCAUCACAGCGCCAACCUUGCUGUCACUGCGUCCUGCGAGCUAGAAUUUCUUACAGGUGUCGGCGGAGGUUUGCAGCCCGAGGCUCUCACUUCAGCGGACUCGUCCGAGCUGUCCGAGCUCCGUUGGGUCAGCGGCAGGACUGGAGAUGUUUGAGACCUUGCAAAUGAUUAAACGUGUCUUCCUUGCGCUGGUCCUGGCGCCGUGCGCGCUUUCCCAGCUGCAGCUGGUGGCCUCCAGCCCUGGGGUGGGCAAAGUCUCUGAGCCCCUCACACUGACCUGUGCUGUCUCCGGAUUCUCCAUCACUGACAGCAGCUACAUUUGGAACUGGAUCCGGCAGCCCCCCGGGAAAGGGCUGGAGUGGAUGGGGUAUGUGUACCCGUAUAGUAGCGGGAGCACAAGCUACGCCCAGUCUCUCCAGGGCCGAAUCACCAUCUCUGCAGACACCGCCAGGAACCAGUUCUCCCUGCAGCUCCGCUCCUUGACAGCUGCAGAUACUGGCACCUAUUACUGCGCCGGGGGAGACACGGUGACACAGAGACAGGGGGCCUGGGACAAAAAGGGGACCAGCCACACGCUUCCCCUCCCGGAGAGAAGGCACUUGACUUUGCCCCUGCGGUCCGCCCCUUUCCACUGUCACUUAAAGGAGACGCUUUGUCAGAGGCCACCAGGAAACUGGAGAGAAGGAGAGAAAAAGGAAGCACCUGCGCUUUCGAAUGGGGAGGAGAGGGACUUUGUUACAGGCAUCUGGCAGUUUUGGAAACCCCAAUCUAGGCCUGAAAUUGCAACUGAAUCUCCUGUCCGCUGA
This is a non-coding RNA of Chelonoidis abingdonii (Abingdon island giant tortoise), 928 nucleotides long. NCBI's taxonomy places the organism in Eukaryota, Metazoa, Chordata, Testudines, Testudinidae. The record is from the annotation of a RefSeq genome assembly.